GUGAGGAAUUUUCCGCAAUGGGCGAAAGCCUGACGGAGCAAUGCCGCGUGAAGGAUGAAGGCCUAUGGGUUGUAAACUUCUUUUCUCAGAAAAGAAUUAUGACGGUAUCUGAGGAAUAAGCAUCGGCUAACUCUGUGCCAGCAGCCGCGGUAAGCCAGAGGAUGCAAGCGUUAUCCGGAAUGAUUGGGCGUAAAGCGUCUGUAGGUUGUUUAAAAAGUAUUCUGUCAAAGAUUAGGGCUUAACCCUAGAUAGGCAGAAUAAACUUUUAAGCUAGAGUUUGGUAGAGGCAGAGGGAAUUCCCGGUGGAGCGGUGAAAUGCGUAGAUAUCGGGAGGAACACCAAAGGCGAAGGCACUCUGCUGGGCCAAUACUAACACUGAGAGACGAAAGCGAGGGGAGCAAAUGGGAUUAGAUACCCGAGUAGUCC
This 426-nucleotide ribosomal RNA is filed under the name uncultured bacterium. RNAcentral describes it as "partial 16S ribosomal RNA". It matches the Rfam family "Bacterial small subunit ribosomal RNA", at positions 354 to 796 of the family's 1533-position model. The record is from RNAcentral.